CCCUUAGAUGUUCUGGGCUGCACGCGCGCUACACUGAUGCGCUCAACGAGUUUUAACCUUGCCUGGAAAGGUUGGGUAAUCUUUUUAAAACGCAUCGUGAUGGGGAUAGAUUAUUGCAAUUAUUAAUCUUCAACGAGGAAUUCCCAGUAAGUGCGGGUCAUCAGCUCGCGCUGAUUACGUCCCUGCCCUUUGUACACACCGCCCGUCGCUACUACCGAUUGGAUGGUUUAGCGAGAACUUUGGACCGGAGCUCGGGUGGUCAGCAAUGGCCGCCCGAGACAUACUGGGAAAUCGCUCCAGCUUGAUCAUCUAGAGGAAGUAAAAGUCGUAACA
This 333-nucleotide ribosomal RNA is filed under the name uncultured eukaryote. RNAcentral's name for it is "partial 18S ribosomal RNA". It matches the Rfam family "Eukaryotic small subunit ribosomal RNA", at positions 1470 to 1796 of the family's 1831-position model. The record is from RNAcentral.